This 103-nucleotide small nuclear RNA is filed under the name Propithecus coquereli (Coquerel's sifaka). Lineage: Eukaryota; Metazoa; Chordata; Mammalia; Primates; Indriidae. The record is from RNAcentral.
UUGCUUCAGUAGCAUAUAUACAAAAAUUGGAACAAUGCAGAGAAUACUAGCAUGGUCCCUGGGCAAGGAUGACAUACAAAUUCAUGAAGUGUUCCAUAUUUUU